Molecule: long non-coding RNA, 118 nt
Organism: Hibiscus syriacus
Lineage: Eukaryota; Viridiplantae; Streptophyta; Magnoliopsida; Malvales; Malvaceae
Exons: 3
Source: RefSeq, a predicted model, not a curated record
AAUGACAAAUAUAAAUUUUCCUAAUUAUGAACCAAAACAGGAUAGUCGACCGGAAUCCGGUUUCCGAAACAAAAUGGAAAACUGGUUCAAUAACACCUAAACACUUGAGACUAGUAAA